GAUAGCUGGAGAAUAACCAAGUGCUGUGCAGGGCUACAGAGGAAGGGGAAGAGAUAAUCCCUGUCCAUGAAAAAUAACAAGCUUCAUGGGGCACACAGCCCAGGCUCAAAUGAAUGGCAUAUGUAUGUAAACUGCUUAUGUCUAAAACCAGGCCAUUGGUGAUGAUCGGAGUAGCAUGGGUCAUGCUGCUGUACCGCUCCAUCGACUCCCACACGGAAGACAAGGGCCCCAUCUACAACUACCGUGUGGAGAUCUCCAUCUUCUUCAUCAUCUACAUCAUCAUCAUCGCCUUCUUCAUGAUGAACAUCUUCGUGGGCUUCGUCAUCGUCACCUUUCAGGAGCAGGGGGAGCAGGAGUACAAGAACUGUGAGCUGGACAAGAACCAGCGACAGUGCGUGGAAUACGCCCUCAAGGCCCGGCCCCUGCGGAGGUACAUCCCCAAGAACCAGCACCAGUACAAAGUGUGGUACGUGGUCAACUCCACCUACUUCGAGUACCUGAUGUUCGUCCUCAUCCUGCUCAACACCAUCUGCCUGGCCAUGCAGCACUACGGCCAGAGCUGCCUGUUCAAAAUCGCCAUGAACAUCCUCAACAUGCUCUUCACUGGCCUCUUCACCGUGGAGAUGAUCCUGAAGCUCAUUGCCUUCAAACCCAAGGGUUACUUUAGUGAUCCCUGGAAUGUUUUUGACUUCCUCAUCGUAAUUGGCAGCAUAAUUGACGUCAUUCUCAGUGAGACUAAUAGGUGCGUGGAAUCUUAGUGACACUGAGGUCAUAGCAUUGUCUCAAUGGCAGCCAUUGGAAUUGGGCAGCCGUUUUCUGUAGGGCUAAGACCAGCCUUCCCUGGAGGAGAUCAGAGGUAAUCUGCACCUUUCAAAAUCAGCCUGCCAAGGAGAAUGCAGCCAUGGCUUAUGCCCCCUUCACAAUGCUCUCUGGCCACCUGACCGCAGGAGAGUAUUGUGGAGGACAACUGGGUUGGGUAUUCCAGCCUAGAGAUCUACUGCUCAGCCCCUGAAUUUCUAUAAUUCUUACCCUUGGCUGUGCUUUAAAAAAAUAAUAAUUUUUAAAAAAC
Molecule: unclassified non-coding RNA, 1069 nt
Filed under: Homo sapiens (human)
Lineage: Eukaryota; Metazoa; Chordata; Mammalia; Primates; Hominidae
Description: calcium voltage-gated channel subunit alpha1 C (ENSG00000285479.3)
Source: RNAcentral